Molecule: ribosomal RNA, 461 nt
Filed under: uncultured Pelotomaculum sp.
Lineage: Bacteria; Bacillati; Bacillota; Clostridia; Eubacteriales; Desulfotomaculaceae
Description: bacterial SSU rRNA
Rfam family: Bacterial small subunit ribosomal RNA
Source: RNAcentral
GCACAAGCGGUGGAGCAUGUGGUUUAAUUCGACGCAACGCGAAGAACCUUACCAGGGCUUGACAUCCCCUGACCGCGUAUGAAAGUACGUUUUCACCCUCGGGUGACAGGGAGACAGGUGGUGCAUGGUUGUCGUCAGCUCGUGUCGUGAGAUGUUGGGUUAAGUCCCGCAACGAGCGCAACCCCUACGUUUAGUUGCUAACGCGUGAAGGCGAGCACUCUAGACGAACUGCCGUUGACAAAACGGAGGAAGGUGGGAUGACGUCAAAUCAUCAUGCCCCUUAUGUUCUGGGCUACACACGUGCUACAAUGGCCGGUACAGACGGAGGCGAAGCCGCGAGGCGGAGCAAAUCCGAAAAAGCCGGUCUCAGUUCGGAUUGCAGGCUGCAAUUCGCCUGCAUGAAGUCGGAAUCGCUAGUAAUCGCAGGUCAGCAUACUGCGGUGAAUACGUUCCCGGGCCUU